This 24591-nucleotide long non-coding RNA is filed under the name Olea europaea subsp. europaea. The record is from RNAcentral. Lineage: Eukaryota; Viridiplantae; Streptophyta; Magnoliopsida; Lamiales; Oleaceae.
UACUAAUCUACUUUAAUUAAGAUAGAAAUUAUUAUUCUUAAUCAUAUAGGAUUUGGAUUAUGAUAAAGUCUUCUAAUAAUUAUUGUAUUAGAAUAGUUAGGACUUUAAUUAAUUAAACUAGUUAAGUUGUAUAGAAAUUUCAUUUGACACACUCUUCCAUUUAUUUUGAUCGAAACAGGAGAUUAACUAGUUAUUUAUUUUAUUAAAAUGUGCAAAUAGGAGGCCAAUUUGGUUUCCCAGCCCACGUGUGAAUUCAAGCAGCAAACAAUCAGAUUCACGCCUCUUUGUCCUUUUCCUUAUUAUAAUUGUAGUUGAUUUUGAACUUAUCAAAACCAAUAAACAAUCAGAUUCAUCAAAAUAGAAGAUCAGUCCACGUGUGUAAAGGUCAUGCAGCCUCUUUAUCUUUAUCCUUUCCUUAUCUGAUAUAAAACUCGACAGAAUCCCAUAAGAAAUCACCAAUCAGAAUUUCAAACUAAUUUAUGGGAUCAGAAUUCUAAACUAACUUAUGUGAUGUGCACAGAAAUUUAGAAUUCAAAACUUAUCAAAAUUCCACUUCCCACGUGAUUACCCUACACCAUGGUUUAGUAUAAAUAUAGCACUAAACCUCAAGCAUUCAGUCAUUAAUUCAUCAUUCUUCUUCUGCACGUCUUUAUUCUCUUCUCCUCUUUAAAAUAUUUCUCCAUAUUAUUAAGCCUUUUUAAGGCCUUGGAAUCGCAAUAAAGAAUCACGUUUUCAGCAAUUUUAUUUUCCACGUUCAUCUUCAAAAGGUGAGAUGCUUAGUGCUAUUAGUGGUUUGUCCACAUCUUUUCAAAUACGUUGUUAUGUAUGGAUUUAAUUACUUCAGUUCAGAGCUCCUUUGGGAGAAAUCAUGAUACAGUUUAAGGCACAAUUUAGCCUUCACGUUAUUUGCAGCGCUUGCUUGAAUUAUCAUUUGUCAUGGUGUGAUAAUUCUCAUGUUAUGUUGGUAAGAGAAUUUAUGCAUAAUUUCACGUUUGAUUUGAAUGUGGAGUAGCAAGCACCUCAUUGAGUAUAAUUCGUUAUACUCAUCCCUCUCUAUUUACAAUUUUCAGGUAGAAAUUAGUAUACUGGACGGCGGUGGAUGGAUGCAUAUUGGACCAAUGGAUCUCCAUCAUGAAGUACUAUAAUUUUUAGAAACACUAGAAUAUUUAAUAACAGUUGAUUAUUAUUAUUUUUAAAUUUAGACUCAAUUGUGAGUCACGUCAUAACUUUCAAUUAGUCCUAUUUUUAUUAUUUGUUAGAACUACUUUUAUUAAUGUUUGAUAAAAGAUAUGAUUCCAAAUUGUUCCGCAUAUGUUAUUUAAUUUAAUUUACCUUUUGUUAAGGUUGUUCAAUUUUUAUUGAAUUCCUCGUUAUAUUAAAAUGUAUUUGCCUCAAGCACUUUAUUAAUCAAUUCACGUUUGGUAACGUUCCGGGUUGCUAGAGAAUUCGGGGCGUUACACUCGGUGCAUUAGUGAGUCCAAAUAGCAUAACCAACCAUUCAUACAAUCCAUACUUAGUCUUAAACGUCGUUUUCCAUUCAUCACCCUCCCGCAUGCGAAUUUGAUGAUACCCACUCUUAAGAUCAAUCUUACUAAAAAUGCAAGCACCAUGCAACUCAUCAAGCAUAUCAUCUAGCCUAGGUAUUGGUGACGAUACUUUACCAUGAUAUUGUUGAUAGCUCGGCAAUCCACGCACAUUCUCCAAGUCCCAUCUUUCUUAGGCACCAACAAAACAGGUACAACACAUGGACUCAUGCUCUCCCUGACAUAACCUUUGUUCAUCAACUCCUCCACUUGCUUUUGAAGCUCCUUCGUCUCCUCGGGAUUGCUUCGGUAAGCUGGUCGAUUCGGUAUGACAGCUCCGGGUACAAAGUCAAUCUGGUGCUCGAUGCCUCUGAUUGGUGGCAAUCCACUUGGCAUCUCCUCAGGAAACACAUCGUCGAACUCCUGCAAUAAAGACUUAACCAAACUAGGGAGGGAUGUGUUAGAAUCCUCAAAAUUGAGGAAGGACUCCUUGUACACUAACAAUAUCAUUUGCCUAUUAUCGCUCAUAGCCUUUUUCAACUCACUCUCUUUUGCAUAGAAGUUGACUUUUGGCUUUUCUCUCCGCUCAGCUGACUCUUUUUCUCUCCUCUCAACUGACUCUUUUUCUCUCCGCUCAUGUGGCUUCUCUCUCUUUUCUCCACUCUCAGCCACCUCACUAUUUUCUCUCUUAGUGAUGGUUUCACUAUUGCCUCUCCUUUUUCCUGACUCUCUUAUUCUCUUGUCUUCCUCACUUUUCAGCUUGAUUUGAUCUCCAUACACUUGUGCCGAUGUUAAUGGCGCAAGAGUAAUAGUUUUCCCAUCCUUGACAAAGCUAUAACGAUUCCUAUAACCAUCAUGUGUGACCCUUCUAUCAUAUUACCAUGGCCUUCCUAAUAAGAUAUGACCUACAUGCAUAGGCACCACAUCACAUACUACUUUGUCACUAUAACUCCCAAUUGAGAAAUUAAUUAAAACUCUUUUAUUCACCCUAAUUUCUCCACUUUCAUUCAACCAUUGCAACUUAUAAGGCCUAGAGUGUCUUAACAAUGCUAGUCCUAAUUUCUCAACUAAAGUUGUACUAGCUACAUUCGUGCAACUCCCACCAUCAAUAAUCAUACUACAUACCUUAUCGUUGAUGUAACAACGUGUGUGGAAUAUAUUUUCUCGCUACUACUCCGAAUCAUCCACUUUGACUUGAGUGUUAAGAGCUCUCCUUGACAUCAACGAUUCCCCAACAGCAAACUCCAAUUUUUCUUCUUCUUCCACGUCCUCCAAUGCAGGCAUAUCCUCAAACUCUCCUUCACUUUCACGCACCACCUCUCCAUUAUCCAACAAAACCAUUACCGUUUAUUUGGGCAUUGAGAAGCAAUGUGCCCUGACCCCAAGCAUCUGAAACACUUGAUGUCUCGAUUCCUUGAUGGUUGUGAAUCUAUUUUGGGUGCUGUUUUGCUAGCACUUUCUUCUUUCCCUUUCUGCCACUCAUUCCUACCUUUAGGUACUGCUUUAUCACCUUUGUUGUUGUUGUUCCACCCUGGCUUCCAAGAUGGACUAACACUCGAAGUUCCUAACGGCUGCCUAGCUGCCCCUUUCAUCUUCAGCUGUCUCUCUAUCUUCAUAGUCACAUGCAACAUGUCUUCCAACUCCAUAUAAUGUUGCAACUUCACUACAUUGGCAAUUUCCCUAUUCAACCCAUUCAAGAAUCAUGCCAUGGUAGCCUCUUGAUCCUCCAUCACAUUGGCCCUAAUCAUGAGUAUUUCCAUCUCCUUAUGAUAGUCCUCUACACUUUUCGACCCUUGAUAUAGACCUUGCAAUUUUUGAUGGAUCUCUCGGUAAUAGUGGCUAGGAACAAACCUCUUUCUCAUCAAUGACUUCAAUUCCUCCCAAGUGCUGAUUGGUCUUUCCCCACUCAUACGUUGUGAAGUAAUCACUUGAUCCCACCAUGAAAUUGCAUAGUCACUGAACUCCAAAAUUGCUAACUUCACCUUUUUCUCCUCCGAAUACUUAUAACACUCGAAGAUCAUUUCAACCCUCCUUUCCCACUCCAGGUAUGCCUCGGGAUCACUCCUUCCUUUGAAUGAAGGAAUUGUCAUUUUUAUAUUUCCCAAGUUUCCAUCCAACUCCUCCCCGCGAUCAUUCCAACCCCGUCUGUCGAACCUAUCGCCUCUAUUCCUCAUCCUUCCCAUCUCAACACUGUGAAAUUCAUCUUCGCCCAUGUCACUCUCAUAUCCAUACUCCUCUUGCCUUUCCCUCCUAGGCUCCCAUCUAUCCGGUCCUCUGGCAUUGAAUACAUCCACUCGAUGUCCCCGACUAAGAUUAGCCACCGAUGUAUCUAAUCUAUUCAUCCAAGCCUCCUGCUUCUCCAACCUAUCUCUCACAUCUCCAAAUGCCUCUCAAACCUUUGCACUAAAUCCUCCGUUGCAUUGCUAUUAUUGCCUUGUCGGCUUAAGUUUGAUUCUGCCCUUUCUGACAUCCUAACACUAAAAUUUUAUUUUACUACCUCACUAAAAGUCACUCGAAAACACACACACAAGGCUUUUAUCCUCUAUUAAGCUCACCUCUCUGCCUUUCACCACUCAAUUCUUUCAAAAAUUGCUUCUAGGAACAAUCAAUGAACUCAAUCAAUCAAUCAAUUCUUGUAGAAUUUCCCAAACUGGAUGUGACUCAAUAAUUGUAACAAAGGACUCAAAGAAAACUUUUAAAACUUGAUUUAAAUUGAAGGAAUGGAACGAUUCAAUGUGUCCAAGUAAUUUAGAAACGAUAAUGAAUAAUAAAAGUUGGUAUUUGAUGGAUCAAUAAUAUUCAACAAUUUUUUUUACUGUACGGAUGAAUAGUACCGUACAGAUGAACAGUAAUUUCUUUUUUUUUAGAUCCGAAAAUCAAUAACAAAACCAUCAAAGAAAACGAAAACUGAUUUGGGCGAAAAUUGAGCCUUAAAAGGAAUUUGAAGAUUUUUGAUGAAAUUUUUGGAUCAAAGAUCAAGAAAACCUUCUAGACACAAGAACACAAGAAAUUAAAAAAAACAAUAGAAAACAAAGGAUAUAACCUAAUUAAAUUGGAACCAAAACUCUGAUACCAACUGAUGCGAACCCCUAGCAAUAGAAACUACGAAACCCACAACGAGAUUGAUGCGGAACCCAAGAACGCCAAUACUAACCCGGUUUUGGAUCUUGAACCCCAAGAAUUGAACCAAGAAACCCUAGAUUAGUAAAGAACCUAAAACCCCUUGAUUACAAUUGAAAGAACCCACAAUCCGAUUGAUAGAACGCCACAAGAAGUCGAAUUUUAAUAAGUUCCAAGAUUGUUCAAGAAGAACAAUUAAAUUGAAAGAAUAAUUCUCUCUCUAUAAUAUAAAGCAAUGUCAAAAGUUCAAAUGUUUUUACAAUGAAAAAUUAUUCUCCUAUUUAUACUAUUCCUCAAAUAGGAGUCAAAAAGGAAACAUAAUUCUAAUAAUCUAACAAAAUUCCUAAAAUAUUCGUCCAAUAUGGUAGGAGUUUGAUUAAGAAUGAAAUUCUAGUAAAAUAAGGAAAAAAAGGAAAAUCACGCCCAGAAAUGAACCAUGCGGUCGCAUGGUUAUAACACGUGCGGCCGCAUGGUAAUAAGAUUUUGGCCAAUUGAAAUCUCGGUAUCAUGCUAUGUGGUCGCACCGUGCGACCGCAUGGUUACACUGCCCACUCUCGUCUUCGGCUGCUUAUAACGCAUUGAUCCAUUUUGUUUUGGCCUUCGACCCGAACACGAAACUUGUCCCAUUUUGAGUCCCGAACAUGGUUCCAUCAAUAGUUUCUUGAACGAGCAAUCCAUCGCUUGUUUCACUUGCUUUGCCCUUGAUCGUGUCAUUGGUCCGCCAUCGACUAUCAACGGGUCUCGUCUCGCACUUGCCUUUGUCAGGCUCGACUCCUGGAUCAUAUCAUUUCCAAUCUAACUGUCACUUGACAACAAUGCAUGUGUCAAACAACGUGUCAAAAAUUAGUGUACCAAUAGCAAAGUUCAAUCGGUAAGAACCUUCCUUCAUGUGCACUAUGGUGUACGCUUUAGUUUAUACUUUGCCACGUGACAUAUCCCUGUUUGACAAUUAAAUUUCAAACAAUUCUCCAAUCUAAUUGACGCUUUACAACAAUGCAAGUGUUAAACAACGUGCCAAAAAUAAGUGUACAAAUAGCAAAGUUCAAUCGGUAAGAACCUUGAGACAUGUACACAAUGAUGUACACUUUAGUUUACACUUUGCCACGCGACAUUACCCAUCUGACAGUUUAAAUUUUAAAGAGUUUUCCUAUCCAAUAGACACUUGACAACAAUGCAAGUAUUAAACAACGUGUCAAAUAUCAGUGUAUAAAUAGUAAAGUUCAAUCGGUAAGAAAUGCAAGUGUCAAACAACGUGUCAAAAAUCAGUGUACAAAUACCAAAGCUCAAUCGGUAAUAAAAUUGAGACAUGUACACUAUGGUGUAUACUUUAGUUUACCCUUUGUCACUUGACAUUACCCUAUUGGAAAGUUUAAAUUUCAAACAGUUUUCACACCCCAAUUGGCACUUGACAACAAUGCAAGUGUCAAACAGUGUUCCAAAAAUCAGUGUACAAAUAGCAGAGUUCAAUCGGCGGUAAGAACCUUGUUUCAUGUACACUAUGGUGUAUACUUUAGUUUACACUUUGCCACAUGACAUUACCCUGUUGGACAGUUUAAAUUUCAAACACUUUCCUAUCCAAUUGACACUCGACAACAGUGCAAGUGUCAAACAACAUCUCACAGAUCAGUGUACAAAUAACAAAAUUCAAUCGGUAAGGACCAUGCUACAUGUACACUACGGUGUACAAUAGUUUACACUUUGCCACAUGAUAUUAUCCUGUUGGACAGUUUAAAUUUCAAACAAUUUUCCCAUCCAAUUGACACUUGAUUACAAAGGAAGUGUGAAAAAUCAUGUACAAAUGAAAAAGUUCAAUCGGUUAGAACCUCACUACACGUACACUAUGGUGCACACUGUAGUUAACCCUUUGCAUUGUGACAUUACCCUAUUUGACAGUUUAAAUUUCAAACAGAUUUCGCAUCCAAAUGGCACUUGACAACAACACAAGUAUCAAACAACAUGUAAAAAAUUAGUGUACAAAUAGCAAAGUUCAGUCGGUAAGAACCGUGCGACAUGUACACUAUGGUGUGCACUGUAGUUUACAUUUUACCACUUGACAUUACCCUUUUGGAUCGUUUAAAUUUCAAAUAGUUUUCCAUCCAAUUAACACUUGAUAACAAUACAAGUAUCAAACAACGUGUCGAAAAUCAGUGUACAACAAGUAAAGUUCUAACAAUAAGAACCUGGCUUUAUGUAUAAUAUAGUGUACACUUUAGUUUACACUUUGCCACGAGAUAUUACCCUGUUGGGUAGUUUAAAUUUCAAACAGUUUUCCCAUCCAAUUUACAUUUGACAAAAAUGCAAGUGUCAAACAACGUGUCAAAAAUCAGUGUACAAAUAGCAAAGUUCAAUUGGUAAGAACCUUGCUACAUGUACACUCUGGUGAACACACUUUAGUUUAAACUUUGCCACGUGACAUUACCAUGUAGGACAAUUUAAAUUUGAAACAGCUUUCCUAUCCAAUUGACAAUUUACGACGAUGCAAGUGUUAAACAACGUGUCAAAAAUUAGUGUACAAAUAAUAAAGUUCAAUCGGUAAGGACCUUGCUGCAUGUACACUAUGGGGUACACUUUAGUUUGCACUUUGCCACUUGACAUUACCCUGUCGAAUAGUUUAAAUUUCAAAUAGUUUUCCCACCCAAUUGACACUUGGGAACAAUGCAAGUGUUAAACAAUGUGUCAAAAGUCAGUGUAAAAGUAGUAAAGUUCAAUAGGUAAAAACCUUGCUUCAUGUACACUAUGGUGUGAACUUUAGUUUACACUUUCCCACGUGAGAUUACCCUUUUGGGCAGUUUAGAUUUCAAACAUUUUUCCCAUCCAAUUGACACUUGACAACAACGCAAGUUUCAAAUAACAUGUCAAAAAUCAGUGUACAAAUAGCAAAGUUCAAUCGGUAAGAACCUUGCUACAUGUACACUAUGGUGUACACACUUUAGUUUACGUACUGCCAAGUGACAUCACCCUGUUGGACAGUUUAAAUUUCUAAUAGUAUUCCUAUCCAAUUGACACUCGACAACAAUACAAGUGUCAAACAACGUCUCAAAAAACAUUGUACAAAUAACAAAGUUCAAUCGUUAAAGACCAUGCUACAUGUACACUAUGGUGUUCUCUUUAGUUUACACUUUGCCACGUGACAUUACCCUAUUGGACAGUUUAAAUUUUAAACAAUUUUCCCGUCCAAUUGACACUUGAUUACAAUGGAAGUGUCAAACAACCUGUCAAAAAUCAAAGUACAAGUGGCAAAAUUCAAUCGGUAAGAACCUUACUACACGUACACUAUUGUGCACACUUUAGUUAACCCUUUGCCUUGUGACAUUACCCUAUUUGAUAGUUUAAAUUUCAAACAGAUUUUGCAUCCAAAUGGCACUUGACAACAACGCAAGUGUCAAACAACGUGUCAAAAAUUUGUGUACAAAUAGCAAAGUUCAAUCGGUAAGAACCUUGCUACAUGUACACUAUGGUGAACACACUUUAGUUUAAACUUUGCCACGUGACAUUACCCUGUUGGAAAGUUUAAAUUUCAAACAGUUUUCCUAUCCAAUUGACACUUGACAACAAUGCAAGUGUUAAACAACGUGUCAAAAAUUAGUAUACAAAAAUAACAAAGUUCAAUCGGUAAGGACCUUGCUACAUGUACACUAUGGGAUACACAUUAGUUUUCACUUUGCCAAGUUAUAUUACCCUGUUGUACAGUUCAAAUUUGAAAUAUUUUUCCCAUCUAGUAGACACUUGACAACAAUGUAAGUGUCAAACAACGCGUCAAAAAUAAGUGUAUAAAUAGCAAAGUUCAAUUGGUAAGAAAUGUAAGUGUCAAACAACGUGUUAAAAAUCAGUGUACAAAUAGCAAAGUUCAAUCGGUACGAACCUUGCUACAUGUACACUAUGGUGUACAUGCUUUAAUUUACACAUUGUCACGGGACAUUAUCCUGUUGGACAGUUUAAAUUUCUAACAGUAUGCCUAUCAAAUUGACACUCGACAACAAUACAAGUGUCAAACAACUUUUCAAAAAUCAGUGUACAAAUAACAAAGUUCAAUCGGUAAGGACCAUGCUACAUGUACACUAAAGUGUACUCUUUAGUUUACACUUUGCUACGUGACAUUACUCUGUUGGGCAGUUUAAAUUUCAAACAAUUUUUCCAUCCAGUUGACACUUGAUUACAAUGUAAUUAUCUAACAACGUGUCAAAAAUUAUAUACAAAUGGCAAAGUUCAAUCGGUAUAAACCUCGCUACACGUACACUAUGGUGCACACUUUAGUUAAUCCUUUGCCUAGUGAUAUUACCCUAUUUGACAAUUUAAAUUUCAAAAAGAUUUCACAUCCAAAUGGCACUUGACAACAAUGCAAGUGUCAAACAACGUGUCAAAAAUCAGUCCACAAAUAGCAAAGUUCAAUCAGUAAGAACCCUGCCACAUGUACACUAUGGUGUAUGCACUUUAUUUUACACUUUGCAACGUGAAACUACCCUGAUGGACAGUUUAAAUUUCAAACAGUUUUCGCAUUCCAUUGGCACUUGAUAAAAUGCAAGUGUCAAACAACAUGUCAAAAAUCAGUUUAAAAAUAGCAAAGUUCAAUCGGUAAGAACCUUACUGCAUGUACACUCUGGUGAACACACUUUAGUUUAAACUUUGCCAUGUGACAUUACCCUGUUGGACAGUUUAAAUUUCAAACAAUUUUCCUAUCCAAUUGACACUUGACAACAAUACAAGUGUCAAACAACGUGUUAAAAAUCAGUGUACAAGUAACAAAGUUCAAUCGGUAAGGACCUUGCUACAUGUACACUAUGGGGUACAAAUCAUUUACACUUUGCCACGUGACAUUACCCUGUUCGAUAGUUUAAAUUUCAAAUAGUUUUCCCAUCCAAUUGACACUUGACAACAAUGCAAGUGUCAAACAACGUGUCAAAAAAGUGUACAAAUAACAAAGUUCAAUCGGCAAGAACCUUACUUCAUGUACACUUUGGUGUACACUUUGCCACGUGACAUUACCCUGUUGGAUAAUUUAAAUUUCAAACAGUUUUUCCAUCCAAUUGACAGUUGACAACAACGCAAGUGUCAAACAACGUGUCAAAAAUCAGUGUACUAAUAGCAAAGUUCAAUUGGUAAGAACCUUGCUUUAUGUACACUAUAGUGUACACUUUAUUUUACACUUUGCCACGUGACAUAACCCUUUUGGGUAGUUUAAAUUCCAAACAGUUUCCCCAUCCAAUUUACACUUGACAACAACGCAAGUGUAAAAAAUUUGUGUACAAAUGGCAAAGUUCAAUCGGUAGGAACCUUGCUACAGGUACACUCUGGUGAACACACUUUAAUUUAAACUUUGCCACGUCACAUUACCCUAUUGAACUGUUUAAAUUUCAAACAAUUUUCCUGUCCAAUUGGCACUUGACAACAAUGCAAGUGUCAAACAACAUGUAAAAAAUCAGUGUACGAAUAGUAAUGUUCAAUCGGUAAGGGCCUCGCUACAUGUACACGAUGGUGUACAGUUUAUUUUACACUUCUCCACAUGACGUUACCUUGUUGGAUGUUUUAAAUUUCAAGAAAUUUUCCUAUCCAAUUGACACUUGACAACAAUGCAUUUGUCAAACAACGUGUCAAAAAUCAGUGUACAAAUAGCAAAGUUUAAUCGGUGAGAACCUUGCUUCAUGUACACUAUAGUGUACACUUUAGUCUAUACAUUGCCACAUGACAUAUCCUAGUUGGACAGUUAAAUUUCAAACAGUUCUUCCAUCCAAUUAACACUUGACAACAAUGCAAGUGUCAAACAACGUGUCAAAAAUGAGCGUACAAAUAGCAAAGUUCAAACGGUAAGAACUUUGAGACAUGUACGCUAUGGUGUACACUUUAGUUUACACUUUUCCACGUGACAUUACCCUAUCAGACAGUUUAAAUUUUAAACAGUUUUUCCAUCCAAUAGACACUUGACAACAAUGCAAGUGUCAAACAAUGUGUCAAAAAUCAGUGAAUAAAUAGCAAAGUUCAAUCGGUAAGAAAUGCAAGUGUCAAACAACGUGUCAAAAAUCAGUGUACAAGUAGCAAAGUUCGAUCGGUAAGAACCUUGUGACAUUUACACUAUGUUCAAACAGUUUUCCCUUCCAAUUGAUACUUGACAACAAUUCAAGUGUCAAACAACGUGUUAAAAAUCAGUGUACAAAUAGAAUAGUUCAAUCGACAAGGACCUUGCUACAUGUACACUACGGUGUACAAUUUUGUUUACACCCUACCAUGUGACAUUACCCUGUUGGACAGUUUAAAUUUCAAACUAUUUUCCCAUCCGAUUGACACUUGACAACAAUAUAAGUGUCAAACAACGUGUUAAAAAUCAACGUACAAAUAGCAAAGUUCAAUUGGUAAGAACCUUACCACAUGUACACUACGGUGUUUACACUUUAUUUUACAAUUUUCCACGUGAAUUAUCCUGUUGGGCAGUUUAAAUUUCAAACAAUUUUUCAAUCUAAUUGACACUUGACAACAGUGCAAGUGUCAAACAACGUGUCAAAAAUCAGUCCAGAAAUAGCAAAGUUCAAUCGGUAAGAACCUUGCGACAUUAACACUAUGGUGUAUGCGCUUUAUUUUACACUUUGCCAUGUGACAUUACCCUGAUGGGCAGUUUAAAUUUCAAAGAGUUUUCCCAUCCAAUUGACACUUGAUAACAAUACAAGUGUCAAACAACAUGUCAAGAAUCAGUGUACAAAUAGCAAAUUACAAUCGUUAAGAACCUUGCGACACGUACACUACGGUGUAUACACUUUAUUUUUCACUUUGCCACAUAACAUUACCCUGUCGGACAGUUUAAAUUUCAAACAGUUUUGCUAUCUAAUUGACACUUGACAAAAUGCAAGUGUCAAACAACGUGUCAAAAAUUAUUCUACAAAUAGCUAAGUUCAAUCGGUAAGAACCUUGUGACAUGUACAAUAUGGUGUAUUCUUUAGUUUACACUUUGCCACGUGUCAUUACCCUGUUGGACAAUUUAAAUUACAACCAGUUUUCCCAUCCAAUUGACACUUGACAACAAUGCAAGUGUCAAAUAAGGUGUCCAUAAUUACUAUACAAAUAGCAAAGUUCAAUCGAUAAGGACCUUGCUACAUGUACAAUAUGGUGUACACUUUAGUUUACACUUUGCCACGUGAUAUUACCUUGUUGGACAGUUCAAAUUUCAAAUAGUUUUCCUAUCCAAUUAACACUUGACAACUAUGGUGUACACUUUAGUUUACACUUUGCCACGUGACAUUACCCUGUUAGAUAAUAUAAAUUUCAAACAAAUUUUCAAUCCAAUUGACACUUGACAACAAUGCAAGUAUCAAACAAAGUGUCGAAAAUCUGUGUACAAAUAGGAAAGUUAAAUGGGUAAGGACCUUGCCACAUGUACACUAUGGUGUACACUUUAAUUUACACUUUGACAUGUGAAGUUACCCUAUUGGAAAGUUUAAAUUUCAAACAGUUUUCCCAUCCAAUUUACACCUUGCCAUGUGACAUUACCUUGUUGGACUGUUUAAAUUUCAAACAGUUUUCCCAUCCAAUUGACACCUUUCAAACAGUUUUCCCAUCCAAUUGACACUUAAAAACAAUGCAAGUGUCAAACAAUGUGUCAAAAAUCAGUGUGCAAAUAGCUGUUUUCCGUCCAAUUGACACUUGACAACAAUGCAAGUGUCAAACAACGUGUCAAAAAUUAGUGCACAAAUAGCAAAGUUCAAUCUGUAAAAACCUCGCUACAUGUUUACUAUGGUGUACACUUUAGUUUACACAUUGCCACGUGAUAUUACCCUAUUGGACAGUUUAAUAUUGACACCUGAAAACAAUGCAAGUGUCAAACAACGUGUCAAAAAUCAUCGUAAAAAUAGCCGUUUUUCCAUCCAAUUAACACUUGACAACAAUACAAGUGUCAAACAACAUGUAAAAAAUCAGUGUACAAAUCGCAAAGUUCAAUCGGUAAUGUGACGCCCCGAACUUAAGUUUCGAGGGUCACGUACUAAACAUAAUAGCUUUUGCCUUUGGUACAUGUAAAUACUCUUAAAUAGAAGUAUUACAUGUUAGAAACUUAUUUUCAAUUUGGUAAAACAAUUCUUAUAAAAUCUGAUGGCCGACAAAAGUGCACGUCGACAAGAAAUUAUACUUUACAUAUACGGCCUCGACACUAUUAAGAUUAGUUGAGGCAGCACGUUUGACAAUUUUUAUAAAAUUCAUCCCAACUCUGUUUUACAUGAAAUUUGUGGCAUUAGAAAGAUAAUCUCAAGGAGUUUUCUAGGUUAAAAUAUGAAAAUUUUCCAAGAUCAUAUGAUAUAGACGUUUUACUGAAAACAGUGAAGUAUUACACAGGAAAUCCAGAUUGACCCCUUGAUGUUAAAACCAUGAUAACUCAGGUCAUAGAUAUCCAAAUUGAGUGAUUCCUUCGGCCAUAUUUAGAAAACUCAAAGAGAAAAACAGACAUAUUUUUAGAGUCUAAAACGGACGUUUAUGGAGUUAGAAACAUCAUUUUGAAAUUGACUCCAGAAACUGUCUCGUUUCUGCUUUUAUCACUUGUAAAGAAAAUUAACUACAAAAAUGUCUCUUAACAUAACAUGAAAGAUAUAAUUACAAAAUCUACUAUUAAUACCAUAUUACAUCAUAUCAUGUACAUAUUUUUACAUAGUACCAUAAGAAAAAUAAAUGGAAAAACAGUCAUCGAGCAAAACAUACAAAAGAAAACUUUCGGUUCAAAACAUCCUUGUCCUUAAUCCAUCAUCGCUUAAGCCAACUAACUUCCAUCAAUUCAACGAUCAUGGAUCUGAAAAUUUAGCAUAACAUACUAUGAGUAUAAGAAAUACUCAGUAAGAUACCAUGCUCGUAUUUUUAUCAUGAUAAUACUACACAAAAGAAUGCAAUCAAACCCAUACUUGCACAUUCCGGCUUGCCGGUGCCCUUCGGACUUGUCCUAAGGCAUAAAUAGAUAUCUAACUUUGUGGACUUGUCCACCAUAAUCAUAUUAUGGUUUUUCAUGCAUAGUUUAAGCAUAAAUAUUACCAUGAAAAUUGUACCCCUUAAGCAUAGAAAGUAUCUUACCGUAAAACUUGAUGAUCUUUGUUUGAAAAGUAAGUUGAAAGUGUUAAGCUCACUUCUUUUUCUUCCUUCCUUAAAUUUCGGUUUUUGCCUCUCUUUUCAAAUGUAUAAGUGUUUUGUAGAAAUGAAAGAAAUCUCUUUCUCUAUGGCAUGGAUAGGGGUAUAUUUAUACUUGUAUAAGAGGAUAAGUAUAAAAAGAUAUAUUUUUUUUUAUUAAUUGUUGUGGCCGACUUUGACCCCUUUUUUUUUUUUUAAUACUUGUACACUUGUUUAAUCUAUGAUCCAAAUGUAUGGUGGUGAUGGAUAACAAGUGGGGUUGAUUAUAAGUAAUUAGUAGCCUAAAGACCUAUAUUUGCAAAGGAAAUCUCUAAUCUUCCAACUAAUAUAAUCCAACCCUCUAUCUUUCAUUAUUAGCAAAUGUAUCCCAAAUCUAAACUUAUAUCCAACUUACAUAUUCAAAAAUUGUAGAUCGUAAAUUAAUUUAAUCAUUUGGUCAAUUGAAGUCCUAACAAAAUAAUCGACCACAUUCAAUUUCAAACUUGACUUAAGUUUCGACUAACUAAUAAUCGCUUCAUGCUUGUAGUCAUUAGCUACCUCUAACAUUAACCACUACAAAGGUGGUGUCCCCUUUUCUUAUGGCCAAAAAUAGUAUUGAAAGUUAAAUCGCCAUCUUAAAGAAAUUUAAAUCAGCAUAAAAUUUCUGAGUAUUACAGGUAAGAACCUUGCUACGUGUACACUAUGGUGUACACUUUAGUUUACACUUUACCACGUGACAUUACCCUAUUCGACAGUUUAAAUUUAAAACAGUUUUCCCAUCCAACAACGUGUCAAAAAUUAGUGCAGAAAUAGCAAAGUUCAAUCGGUAAGAACCUUACAACAUGUACACUAUGGUGUACACUUUAGUUUACACUUUACCACGGGUCAUUACCCUAUUGGACAACUUAAAUUUCAAAUAGUUUUCCCAUCUAAUUGACAUCUAAAAACAAUGCAAGUGUCAAACAACGUGUCGAAAAUAUAUACACAAAUAGCAAAGUUUAAUUGAUAAAAACCUUGCGACAUGUACACUAUGGUGUACACUUUAGUUUACACUUUGUCUCGUGACAUUACCCUACUCGACAGUUUAAAUUUCAAACAAUUUUCCCAUCCAAUUGGCACUCGAUAAGAAUACAAGUGUCAAGCAACGUGUCAAAAAGCAGUGUACAAAUAGCAAUGUUCAAUUGGCAAGAACCUUACUACAUGUAUACUAUGGUGUACAUUUUACUUUACACUUUGCCACGUGACAUUACCCUGUUUGACAGUUUAAAUUUCAAAUAGUUUUUCCAUCCAAUUGACACUUGACAACAAUGCAAGGGUCAAACAACGUGUGAAAAAUCAAUGUACAAAUAGAAAAGUUCAAUCGGUAAGGACCUUGCUACAUAUACUCUAUGGUUUAUACUUUAGUUUACACUUUGGCACGUGACAUUACCAUGUUGGACAAUUUAAAUUUUAAGUAAAUUUUCCAUCCAAUUGACACUUGACAAUAAUACAAGUGUCAAACAACGUGUCAAAAACCAGUGUACGAAUAGCAAAGUUCAAUCUGUAAGGAUCUUGCUACAUGUACACUAUGAUUUACACUUUACCACGUGACAUUACUCUGUUGGACAGUUUAAAUUUAAAAUAGUUUUCUCAUCCAAAUGACACUUGACAUCAAUGCAAGUGUCAUACAACGCGUCAAAAAUCAGUGUACAAAUAGAAAAGUUUAAUAGAACCUUGCGACAUGUACAUUAUGGUGUACACUUUAGUUCACACUUUGCCGCAAGUCAUUGCCCAAUUGGCAAAUUUAAAUUUCAAAUAAUUUUCCCGUCCAGAGACUUGACAAUGAUGCAAGUGUAAAAGAAUGUGUCAAAAAUUAGUGUACAAGUAGCAAAGUUCAAUCGGUAAGAGCCUUGCUAAAUUUACACUAUGGUGCACACUUUAGUUUACACUUUACCCCGUUACAUUACUAUAUUGGACAGUUUAAAUUUCAAAUAAUUUUUCCAUCCAAUUAACACUUGAUAACAAUACAAGUGUCAAACAAAGUAUCAAAAAUCAGUGUACAAAUAGUAAAUGUCAAUCGGUAAGGACAUUGCCACAUGUACACUAUGGUGUACACAUUAGUCUACACUUUGCCACGUGACAUUACCCUAUUGGACAGUUUAAAUUUCAAACAAUUUUCCCAUCCCAUUGACACUUGACAACAAUGCAAGUGUCAAACAACGUGUCAAAAAUUAGUGUACAAAUAGCAAAGUUCAAUCGGUAAGAACCUUGCUUCAUGUACACUAUGGUGUACACAUUAGUUUACACUUUGCCACGAGCCAUUAUCCUGCCGGACAGUUUAAAUUUCUAACAAUUUUUCGAUCCAAUUAACAUUUGGCAACAAUGCAAGUGUCAAACAACGUGUCAAAUAUUAGUAUACAAAUAGCAAAGUUCAAUCGGUAAGAACCUUGCUACAUUAAGAAUAUGGUGUAAACUUUAGUUUUACACUUUGACACAUGACAUUGCCUAUUGGACAGUUUAAAUUUCGAACAAUUUUUCCAUCCAAUUGACACUUGAGAACAAUGUAAGUGUCAAACAACGUGUCAAAAAUCAGUGCACAUAUAGCAAACUUCUAUCGAUAAGAACCUUGCAACAUGUACACUAUAGUGUACACUUUAAUUUACACAUUGCCACAUGAUAUUACCCUUUUGGACAGCUUUAGUUUCAAGCAAUUUUUCCAUCCAAUUAACACUCGACAACAAUGCAAGUGUCAAACAAUAGAUAAAAAAUCAGUGUCCUUAUAGCUAUGUUCAAUCGGUAUGAACCUUGCUACAUGUACACCACGGUGUACACACAUUAAUUGACACUUUGUCACAUGACAUUAACCUAUUGGACAGUAUAAAUUUCAAAAAGUUUUCCCAACUGAUUGACACUUGACAAUAAUGUAAGUGUCAAACAACGUGUCAAAAAUCAAAGUACAAAUAGCAAAGUUUAAUCGAUAUAAACCUUGCUAGAUAUACACCUUAGUUUACACUUUGCCACGUGGCAUUACCCUAUUGGACAGUUUAAAUUUCAAAUAGCUUUUUCAUCCAAUUGACACUUGACAACAAUUCAAGUGUCUAACAACGUGUCAAAAAUCACUGUACAAAUAGCAAAGUUCGAUCGGUAUAAACCUUACGACAUGUACUCUAUGGUGUACACUAUACUUUACACCUUGCCACGUGACAUUACCUUGUCGGACAGUUUAAGUUUCAAAUAGUUAUCUCAUCCAAUUGACACUUGACAAAAAUUAAAGUGUCCAAAAACGUUUCAAAAAUCAUUGUACAAAUAGCAAAGUUCAAUCGGUAAGAACCUUGCGACAUGUACACUCUGGUGUACACUUUGGUUUAUACUUUUCCACGUGACACUACCCUACUGGAAAAUUAUAAUUUCAAACAGUUUUCCCAUCCAUUUGACACUUGACAACAAUGAAAGUGUCAAACAACAUGUCGAAAAUCAAUGUACAAAUAGCAAAUUUCAAUCAGUAAAAACCUUGCUAUAUAUAUACUAUGGUGUACACUUUAAUUUAUGCACGUUACCCUGUUGGACAGUUUAAAUUUCAAAUAGUUUUUUCAUCCAAUUGACACUUGACAACAAUACAAGUGUCAAACAACGUGUCGAAAAUCAGUAUACAAAUAGCAAAGUUCAAUGAGUAAGGACCUUGCUACAUGUACACUAUGGUUUACACUUUAGUUUACACACAUUACCUUGUUGGACUAUUUACAUUUCAAACAGUUUUCCCGUCCAAUUGAGACUUGACGACUAUGCAAAUGUCAAACAACGUGUCAAAAAUCUGUAUACAAAUAGCAAAGUUCAAUCUGUAAGGACCUUGCUACAUGUACAUUAUGGUUUACACUUUAGUUUACACUUUGCUACGUGACAUUACCCUAUUGGACAGUUUAAAUUUCAAACAGUUUUCUCAUCCAAUUAACCCAAGACAACAAUGCAAGUGUCAAACAACAUGUCCAAAAUUAGUUCAAAAAUAGCAAAGUUCAAUCGGUAAGGACCUUGCUAUGUGUACACUAGGGUGUACACUUUAGUUUAUACUUUGCCACGUGACAUUACCCUGUUGGACAGUUUGAAUUUCAAAUAGUUUUCCUAUCCAAUUAACACUUGACAACAAUGCAAGUGUUAAACAACGCGUCAAAAAUCAGUUUACAAAUAACAAAAUUCAAUCGGUAUGGACCUUGGUACAUGUACACUAUCGUAAACACUUUGCCAAGUGACAUUACCCUGUUGGACAGUUUAAAUUUCAAACAAUUUUCUCAUCCAGUUGACACUUGACAACAAUGCAAGUAUCAAACAACGUGUCAAAAAUCAGUGUACAAAUAGCAAAGUUCAAUCGGUAAGAACCUUGCUACAUGUACACUAUGGUGUACACUUUAGUUUACACUUUGCCACGUGACAUUACCCUGUUGGACAGUUUAAAUUUCAAAUGUUUUUCCCGUCUAAUUGACAUUUGACAACAAUAAAAAUGUCAUACAACGUGCCAAAAAUCUUUGUACAAAUAGCAAAGUUAAAUCGGUAAGAACCUUUGUACAUGUACACUACGGUGUACACUUUUCCACAUGACAUUACCCUAUUUGACAAUUUUAGUUUCAAAUAGUUUUCCCAUCCAAUUGACACUUGACAAUAAUGCAAGCGUCUAACAACGUGUCAAAAAUAGGUGUGCAAAUUGUAAAGUUCAAUCGGUAAGGACAUUGCUACAUGUACACUAUGGUGUACACUUUAGUUUGCGCUUUGCCACGUGACAUUACCCCAUUAGACAGUAUAAAUUUAAACCAAUUCUCCCAUCGAAUCGACACUUGACAACAAUGCAAGUAUCAAACAACAUGACAAAAAUCUGUGUACAAAUAGCAAAGUUCAAUUGGUAAGAACCUUACGACAUGUACAUUAUGGUGCACACUUUAGUUUAUACUUUGCCAUGUGACCAAUCCAAUUGACACAUGACAACAAUGCAAGUGUCAAACAACGUGUCAAAAAUCAAUAUACAAAUUACAAAGUUCAAUCGGUAAGGACCUUGCUACAUGUACACUAUGGUGUACAUUUUAGUUUAAACUUUGCCACGUGACAUUACCCUGUUAGACAGCAUAAAUUCCAAACAGUUGUCCCAUCUAAUUGACACUUAACAGCAACAUAAGUGUCAAACAACAUGUCAAAAAUCAGUGUACAAAUAGCAAAGUUCAAUCGGUAAGAACCUUACUACAUGUAUAAUAUGGUGUACACUUUAGUUUACACUUUGUCAUGUGAAAUUGCCCCGUUGGACAGUUUAAAUUUCAAAUAGUUUUCCCAUCCAAUUGACACUUGACAACAAUGCAAAUGUCAAACAACGUAUCAAAAGUUGGUGUACAAAUAGCUAAGUUCAAUUGGUAAGAACUUUGCAACCUGUACACUAUGAUGUACACUUUAGUUUACACCUUGCCUUGUGAUAUUACCCUGUUGGACAGUUUAAAUUUCAAACUAUUUUCCCAUCCAACUGACACUUGACAACAAUGUAAGUGUCAAACAACGUGUCAAAAAUUAGUGUACAAAUAGAAAUGUUAAAUCGGUAAGGACCAAGCUACAUGUGCACUAUGGUGUACACUCUUGUUUACCAUUUGCCACGUGACAUUACCCUGUCGAACUGUUUAAAUUUCGAACGGCUUUCCCAUCCCAUUGACACUUGACAACAAUGGAAGUGUCAAACAACGUGUCAAAAAUUAGUGUACAAAUAGAAAUGUUCAAUCGGUAAGGACCAAGCUACAUGUACACUAUGGUGUACACUCUUGUUUACCAUUUGCCACGUGACAUUACCCUGUCGAACUGUUUAAAUUUCAAGCGGCUUUCCCAUCCCAUUGACACUUGACAACAAUGGAAGUGUCAAACAAUGUGUCAAAAAUUAGUGUACAAAUAGCAAUGUUCAAUCGGUAAGUACCUAGCUACACAUACACCAUGGUGUACACUUUAGUUCAAACUUUGCCACGUGACAUUACCCUGCUGGAUAGUUUAAAUUUCAAACGGUUUUCUCGUCCAAUUGACAUUUGACAACAAUGAAAGUGUUAUACAACGUGCCAAAAAUCUUUGUACAGAUAGCAAAGUUCAAUCGGUAAGAACCUUGGUACAUGUACACUACGGUGUACACUUUAGUGUACACUUUUUCACAUGACAUUACCCUAUUUGACAAUUUUAGUUUCAAAUAGUUUUCCCAUCCAAUUGACACUUGAAAAAAAUGCAAUUGUCUAACAACGUGUCAAAAAUGGGUCUGCAAAUUGUAAAGUUCAAUCGGUAAGGACCUUGCUACAUGUACACUAUGGUGUACACUUUAGUUUGCGUUUUGCCACGUGACAUUACCCCGUUGGAUAGUACAAAUUUCAACCAGUUCACCCAUCCAAUUGACACUUGACAACAAUACAAGUAUCAAACAACAUGACAAAAAUCUGUGUACAAAUAGCAAAGUUCAAUCAGUAAGAACUUUGGUACAUGUACACUACGGUGUGCACUUUAGUUUACACUUUGUCACGUGACAUUACCCUGUUUUACAGUUUAAAUUUCAAAUAGUUUUCCCAUCCAAUUGACACUUUGCAACAAUGCAAGUGUCAAACAACGUAUCAAAAAUCUGUGUAAAAAUAGCAAAGUUCAAUCGUUAAGACCCCUGGUACAUGUACACUACGAUGUACACUUUAGUUUACACUUUACCACGUGACAUUACCCUAUUUUACAGUUUAAAUUUCAAACAGUUUUCCCAUCCAAUUGACACUUGGCAACAAUGCAAGUGUUAAACAUCAUGUCAAAAAUCUGUGUACAAAUAGCAAAGUUCAAUCGGUAAGACCCUUACGACAUGUACACUGUGGUGUUUUUACACUUUUCCAAGUGACACUACCCCAUUGGUCCGCUUAAAUUUCAAGCAGUUUUCCCAUCCAAUUAACAUUUGACAAUAAUGUAAAUGUCAUACAACGUGUCAAAAAUCUUUGUACAAAUAGCAAAGUUCAAUUGGUAAGAACCUUGGUACUUGUACAUUACGGUGUACAUUUUAGUUUGCUCUUUCCCAUGUGACAUUACCCCGUUAGACAGUAUAAAUUAUAACCAGUUUUCCCACCCAAUUGACACUUGACAACAAUGCAAGUGUCAAACGAUGUGUCAAAAAUUGCUGUACAAAUAGCAAAGUUCAAUCAGUAAGAACCUUGUCACAUGUACACUAUGGUGUACACUCUAGUUUACCCUUUGCCACGUAAAAUUACCCUAUUGGAUAGUUUAAAUUUCAAAUGGUUUUCCCAUCCAAUUGACACUUGAAAACAAUGCAAGUGUCAAACAACGUGUCAAAAAUCAGUGUACAAAUAGCAAUGUUCAAUCGGUAAGGACCUAGCAACACAUACACUAAGGUGUACAUUUUAGUCUAAACUUUAUCACGUGACAUUACCCUCUUGGACAUUUUAAAUUUCAAGCGGUUUUCCCAUCCAAUUGACACUUGAGAACAAUACCAGUGUCAAACAACGUGUCAAAAAUCAGUGUACAAAUAGCAAAGUUCAAUCGGUAUGAACCUUGCUACACAUACACUAUGGUGUACACUUUAGUUUAAACUUUGCCACGUGACAGCCCGCUAGACUGUUUAAAUUUCAAAUAGUUUUCCCAUCCAAUUGACACUUGACAACAAUGCAAGUGUCAAACAAUGUGUCAAAAGUUGUUGUACAAAUAAUAAUGUUCAAUCGGUAAAAACCUUUCUACAUAUACACUUUGGUGUACACUUUGCCACGUGACAAUACCCAGUUAGACAGUAUAAAUUUGAAAUAGUUUUCCCAUCCAAUUGACACUUGACAACAAUGCAAGUGUCAAACAACGUGUCAAAAAUCUGUGCACAAAUAACAAUGUUCAAUCGGUAAGAACCUUGCGAAAUGUACACUAUAGUGUACACUUUAGUUUACACUUUCCCACGUGACACUACCCCGCUGUACAGUUUAACAUUCAAACAAUUUUCCCAUCCAAUGACACUUGACAACAAUGCAAGUGUCAUACAACGUGUCAAAAAUCAGUGUACAAAUAGCAAAGUUCAAUCGGAAAGAACCUUCCUUCAUGUACACAACGGUGGACACUUUAGUUUACACUUUACCACGUGACAUUAUCCUAUUGGACAGUUUAAAUUUCAAAAAGUUUUUCCAUCCAAUUGACACUUGACAACAAUGCAAGUGUCAAACAACAUGUCCAAAAUCUGUGUACAAAUUGUAAAGUUUAAUCGGCAAUGACCUUGCUACAUUAAACUAUGGUGUACACUUUAGCUUACAAUUUGCCAUGUGACAUUACCCUGUUGGACACUUUAAAUUUCAAAUAGUUUUCCCAUCCAAUUGACACUUGACAACAAUGCAAGUGUCAAACAACGUGUUAAAAAUCAGUGUACAAAUAGCAAAGUUCAAUCGGUAAGAACCUUGCUACAUGUACACUAUGGUGUACACUUUAGUUUACACUUUGUCACGUGAGAUUACCCUGUUGGAGAGUUUAAAUUUCAAACCAUUUUUCCAUCGAAAUAACACUUGUGAACAAUACAAGUAUCAAACAACGUGUCGAAAAUCAGUAUAUAAAUAGAAAAGUUCAAUCGGUAAAAACCUUGCUAUAUAUACACUAUGGUGUACACUUUUAUUUACACUUUACCAUGUGACAUUACCCUGUUGGGCAGUUUAAAUUUCAAAUAGUUUUCCCAUCCAAUUGACACUUGACAACAAUGCAAGUGUCAAACAACGUGUCAAAAAUCGGUGUACCAAUUGCAAAGUUCAAUCGCUAAGAACCUUGCUACAUGUACACUAUAGUGUGUUUACAGUUUGCCAUGUGACAUUACCCUGUUAGACAGUUUAAAUUUCAAAUAGUUUUCCCCUCCAAUUGACACUCGGAAACAAUGCAAGUGUCAAACAAUGUGUUGAAAAUCAAUGUACAAACAGCAAAGAUUCAAUUCGUAAGAAACUCGCUACAUGUACACUAUAGUGUACACUUUACUUUACACUUUGCCACGUGACGUUAUCAUGUUUGACAGUUUAAAUUUCAAACAGUUUUCCCAUUCAAUUGACACUUGAAAACAAUGUAAGUGUCAAACAACUUGUAAAGAAUCAUUGAACAAAUAGCAGAGUUCAAUCGGUAAGAGCCUUACUGCAUGUACACUAUGCUUUACCCACCUUAGUUUACACUUUGCCACGUGACAUUACCCUGUUGACCAUUUUGAAUUUCAAAUAGUUUUCCCAUCUAAUUGACAAUUUGUAAAAUCCCGAAAUUUUUUAGUUUUUCAUUUAAUUUAUUUGCCAUUUAAUAGGAAUGCAAUGUUUAGUUAAGUCCUUACCCAAGUUAAUUGGCUACCUCUAUAGUAAAUUUGGAUCUAUGUGGAUAUCUUUAUAGUUGAGGGACCGAAGUGAAAAUAAAUAUCAAAAUUAUACUUUUAUUAAAUGGGCCAAAUAGUUAACUGUUGAAUGAGGUAGAAUUACCCUAUCAAUAUUGGGCUCAUUUUGAAGCUCGUAAUAAAUGGCGAAUUAUGGACUCAAGAAAAAAUUAAUUUGGUCAAGUUAAACUCGAGUUAUAGCCAAUUAAGAAAACUACUUAGUUAAUAAUAUUAGUUACAAUAUGGACUAAAUUACUCUUUCAAUAUUGGACUCCUUUGAUAGAUAAUAAUUAAUUAUAUAUUUAUUAGGAUUAAGAAAAUGAUAUUUUGGAUAAGUUGAAUUAAGAUGGAAUCAAUGGAAGAAUCAAGGUAUAAAUGAAAUUCUAAUUUAAUUACUAGGCAUACGGUUCACAAUUCUCGGCCACUAUGAAUAAUAUAUGUUAAGUAUUGAUAAUUAUAAAAUUUAAAGAUAAUUGAUUAAAACGUAAUCAUAAUAAUUUUCCAGAAACUAUUAAAUUCCUUUUUAAUGCUAAUCUACUUUAAUUAGGAUAGAAACUAUUGUUCUUAAUCAUGUAGGAUUCGGAUUAUGAUAAAGUUUCCCAAUAAUUUUAGUAUUAGAAUAAUUAGGACUCUAAUUAAUUAAACUAGUUAAGUCGUAUAGAUUGGCAUGGAAACUUUCUGUCAUUUAUUUUGAUUUAAUCAAAGGUAGGAGAUAAAUUAGUUAUUUGUUUAAGUUGUGUGUUGUAUAAAAUAUGCAAUUAGGAGACCAAUUUGCCUUACUUUUCCACGUGUUGACAGGAUAUGCAGUCAUUGGGUCUCCUUAUUAAAAUUGUAUUGGAUUUGGAAUUUAUCAAAACAAAUAGUUAUCCCCAAAUCAGAUAGAAGUCUAGUUGCCGAGGAGUGUAUGGACGGAAAUUUAGAAUUCAAAACUUAUCAAAAUUCCACUUCCCACGUGAUUACCCUACACCAUGGUUUAGUAUAAAUAUAGCACUAAACCUCAAGCAUUUAGUCAUUAAUUCCUCAUUCUUCUUCUACAAGUCUUUAUUCUCUCCUCCUCUUUAAAAAUAUUUCUCCAUAUUAUUAAGGCUUUUUAAGGCUUUGGAAUUUCAAUAAAGAAUCACGUUUUCAGCAAUUUUGCUUUCCACGUUCAUCUUCAAAAGGUGAGAUGCUCAGUGCUAUUAGUGGUUUGUCCACAUCUUUUCAAAUACGUUGUUAUGUAUGGAUUUAAUUACUUCAGUUCAAGGCUCCUUCGGGAGAAAUCAUGAUACAUUUUAAGGCACAAUUUAGCGUUCACAUUAUUUUGCAGUGCUUGCUUGAAUUAUCAUUUGUCAUGGUGUGAUAAUUCUCAUGUUAUAUUGGUAAGAGAAUUUAUACAUAAUUUCACGUUUGAUUUGAAUGUGGAGUAGCAAGAAUCUCAUUGAGUAUAAUUCGUUAUACUCAUCCCUCUUUAUUUACAAUUUUCAGGUAAAAAGUAGUAUGCUGGAUGGCGGUGGAUGGAUAUGCAAUUGGACCAAUGGAUCUUCGUCAUGAAGUACUUUAAUUUUUAGGAACACU